Molecule: ribosomal RNA, 480 nt
Filed under: uncultured bacterium
Lineage: Bacteria
Description: bacterial SSU rRNA
Rfam family: Bacterial small subunit ribosomal RNA
Source: RNAcentral
UUGAACGCUGGCGGAAUGCUUUACACAUGCAAGUCGAGCGGCAGCGCGGGGCAACCUGGCGGCGAGCGGCGAACGGGUGAGUAAUAUAUCGGAACGUACCCUGUCGUGGGGGAUAACACAUCGAAAGAUGUGCUAAUACCGCAUACGACCUGAGGGUGAAAGCGGGGGAUCGCAAGACCUCGCGCGAUAGGAGCGGCCGAUAUCGGAUUAGCUAGUUGGUGAGGUAAAGGCUCACCAAGGCGACGAUCCGUAGCUGGUCUGAGAGGACGACCAGCCACACUGGAACUGAGACACGGUCCAGACUCCUACGGGAGGCAGCAGUGGGGAAUUUUGGACAAUGGGGGAAACCCUGAUCCAGCCAUUCCGCGUGAGUGAAGAAGGCCUUCGGGUUGUAAAGCUCUUUCGGCGGGGAAGAAAUCGCAUUCUCUAAUACAGGAUGUGGAUGACGGUACCCGAAUAAGAAGCACCGGCUAACUACGU